AUUGAACGCUGGCGGCAGGCCUAACACAUGCAGGUCGAGCGGAUGAAGGGAGCUUGCUCCUGGAUUCAGCGGCGGACGGGUGAGUAAUGCCUAGGAAUCUGCCUGGUAGUGGGGAUAACGUCCGGAAACGGGCGCUAAUACCGCAUACGUCCUGAGGGAGAAAGUGGGGGAUCUUCGGACCUCACGCUAUCAGAUGAGCCUAGGUCGGAUUAGCUAGUUGGUGGGGUAAAGGCCUACCAAGGCGACGAUCCGUAACUGGUCUGAGAGGAUGAUCAGUCACACUGGAACUGAGACACGGUCCAGACUCCUACGGGAGGCAGCAGUGGGGAAUAUUGGACAAUGGGCGAAAGCCUGAUCCAGCCAUGCCGCGUGUGUGAAGAAGGUCUUCGGAUUGUAAAGCACUUUAAGUUGGGAGGAAGGGCAGUAAGUUAAUACCUUGCUGUUUUGACGUUACCAACAGAAUAAGCACCGGCUAACUUCGUG
This 483-nucleotide ribosomal RNA is filed under the name uncultured bacterium. Its description in RNAcentral is "partial 16S ribosomal RNA". It matches the Rfam family "Bacterial small subunit ribosomal RNA", at positions 30 to 507 of the family's 1533-position model. The record is from RNAcentral.